Molecule: ribosomal RNA, 633 nt
Filed under: uncultured bacterium
Lineage: Bacteria
Description: bacterial SSU rRNA
Rfam family: Bacterial small subunit ribosomal RNA
Source: RNAcentral
GAGAAGGAGACUUCGGUCUCUGAGUAGAGCGGCGCACGGGUGAGUAACGCGUGGAUGAUCUACCCUUGAGUUCGGGAUAACGGUGCGAAAGCGCCGCUAAUACCGUAUAACAAUCCAUUUCAUCGUGGGUUCAAAGCAGGCCUCUUCAUGAAAGCUUGCGCUUGGGGAUGAGUCCGCGUCCCAUUAGCUUGUUGGCGGGGUAACGGCCCACCAAGGCUACGAUGGGUAGCUGGUCUGAGAGGAUGAUCAGCCACACUGGAACUGAAACACGGUCCAGACUCCUACGGGAGGCAGCAGUGGGGAAUAUUGCGCAAUGGGGGAAACCCUGACGCAGCGACGUCGUGUGAGGGAGGAAGGCCUUCGGGUCGUAAACCUCUGUCAGAAGGGAAGAACAUCCGGGAGUCGAACAGCCUCCCGGCCUGACGGUACCUUCAGAGGAAGCGCCGGCUAACUCCGUGCCAGCAGCCGCGGUAAUACGGAGGGCGCAAGCGUUAAUCGGAAUCACUGGGCGUAAAGCGUGCGUAGGCUGCUUGAUAAGUCAGACGUGAAAUCCCUCGGCUCAACCGGGGAACUGCGCUUGAUACUGUCGAGCUAGAGUCCUGGAGAGGGUGGCGGAAUUCCUGGUGUAGGAGU